UUCCGGUUGAUCCUGCCGGACCCGACUGCUAUCAGAGUGGGACUAAGCCAUGCGAGUCGACGUAGCAAUGCGUGGCGAACGGCUCAGUAACACGUAGUCAACAUGCCCAGGGGACGUGGAUAACCUCGGGAAACUGAGAAUAAACCACGAUAGGUCACGAUUUCUGGAAUGGAUCAUGGCCUAAAUCUACAUGGCCCCUGGAUUGGACUGCGGCCGAUCAGGCUGUUGGUGAGGUAAUGGCCCACCAAACCUAUAACCGGUACGGGCUCUGAGAGGAGAAGCCCGGAGAUGGGCACUGAGACAAGGGCCCAGGCCCUAUGGGGCGCAGCAGGCGCGAAACCUCUGCAAUAGGCGAAAGCCUGACAGGGUUACUCUGAGUGAUUUCCGCUAAGAGGAUCUUUUAGCACCUCUAAAAAUGGUGCAGAAUAAGGGGUGGGCAAGUCUGGUGUCAGCCGCCGCGGUAAUACCAGCACCCCGAGUGGUCGGGACGAUUAUUGGGCCUAAAGCAUCCGUAGCCGGUUCUGCAAGUCUUCCGUUAAAUCCAGCCGCUCAACGGAUGGGCCGCGGAGGAUACUACAGGACUAGGAGGCGGGAGAGGCAAGCGGUACUCAGUGGGUAGGGGUAAAAUCCUUUGAUCCAUUGAAGACCACCAGUGGCGAAGGCGGCUUGCCAGAACGCGCUCGACGGUGAGGGAUGAAAGCUGGGGGAGCAAACCGGAUUAGAUACCCGGGUAGUCCCAG
This 740-nucleotide ribosomal RNA is filed under the name uncultured archaeon. RNAcentral describes it as "bacterial SSU rRNA". It matches the Rfam family "Archaeal small subunit ribosomal RNA", at positions 1 to 750 of the family's 1478-position model. The record is from RNAcentral.